UAACCUGCCUGGUAGCGGGGGAUAACUAUUGGAAACGAUAGCUAAUACCGCAUAAUAGUAGAUGUUGCAUGACACUUACUUAAAAGGUAGCAAUUGCAUCACUACCAGAUGGACCUGCGUUGUAUUAGCUAGUUGGUGGGGUAACGGCUCACCAAGGCGACGAUACAUAGCCGACCUGAGAGGGUGAUCGGCCACACUGGGACUGAGACACGGCCCAG
RNAcentral lists this ribosomal RNA (218 nucleotides) under uncultured bacterium. RNAcentral describes it as "partial 16S ribosomal RNA". It matches the Rfam family "Bacterial small subunit ribosomal RNA", at positions 122 to 334 of the family's 1533-position model. The record is from RNAcentral.